This is a long non-coding RNA of Haliotis rufescens (red abalone), 341 nucleotides long. RefSeq lists it as uncharacterized. Lineage: Eukaryota; Metazoa; Mollusca; Gastropoda; Lepetellida; Haliotidae. The transcript has 2 exons. The record is from RefSeq and is a predicted model, not a curated record.
GUUAGACCAGGGAACAGUGGGACUCCAGACAAGAUGUCAGUUAGACCAGGGAACAGUGGGACUCCAGACACCAUGUCAGUUAGACCAGGAAACAUCGAGACUCAAGAUAAGAUGUCAGUUAGACCAGGGAACAGCUAGACUCCAGACACCAUGUCAGUUAGACCAGGGAACAGUGGGACUCCAGACAAGAUGUCAGUUAGACCAGGGAACAGUGGGACUCCAAACAAAAUGUCACUUAGACCAGGAAACAUCGAGACUCAAGAUAAGAUGUCAGUUAGACCAGGAAACAGUGGGACUCCAGACACCAUGUCAGUUAGACCAGGAAACAUCGAGACUCAAGA